This 789-nucleotide ribosomal RNA is filed under the name uncultured bacterium. Its description in RNAcentral is "bacterial SSU rRNA". It matches the Rfam family "Bacterial small subunit ribosomal RNA", at positions 8 to 798 of the family's 1533-position model. The record is from RNAcentral.
AGAGUUUGAUCAUGGCUCAGGACGAACGCUGGCGGCGUGCUUAACACAUGCAAGUCGAACGGAAAGGCCCCUUCGGGGGUACUCGAGUGGCGAACGGGUGAGUAACACGUGGGUGAUCUGCCCUGCACUUUGGGAUAAGCCUGGGAAACUGGGUCUAAUACCGAAUAGGACCGCAUGCUUCAUGGUGUGUGGUGGAAAGCUUUUGCGGUGUGGGAUGGGCCCGCGGCCUAUCAGCUUGUUGGUGGGGUAAUGGCCUACCAAGGCGACGACGGGUAGCCGGCCUGAGAGGGUGUCCGGCCACACUGGGACUGAGAUACGGCCCAGACUCCUACGGGAGGCAGCAGUGGGGAAUAUUGCACAAUGGGCGCAAGCCUGAUGCAGCGACGCCGCGUGGGGGAUGACGGCCUUCGGGUUGUAAACCUCUUUCAGUGUCGGCGAAGCUCCAGGAUUUUUCUUGGGGUGACGGUAGGUACAGAAGAAGCACCGGCCAACUACGUGCCAGCAGCCGCGGUAAUACGUAGGGUGCGAGCGUUGUCCGGAAUUACUGGGCGUAAAGAGCUCGUAGGUGGUUUGUCACGUUGUCUGUGAAAACUCACAGCUUAACUGUGGGCGUGCGGGCGAUACGGGCAGACUGGAGUACUGUAGGGGAGACUGGAAUUCCUGGUGUAGCGGUGGAAUGCGCAGAUAUCAAGAGGAACACCGGUGGCGAAGGCGGGUCUCCGGGCAGUAACUGACGCUGAGGAGCGAAAGCGUGGGGAGCGAACAGGAUUAGAUACCCUGGUAGUCCAA